UUGGAUCAUAAUUCUGCUUUUGACUGUAGUUCCAUGAGUUUGGAUAACCCUGACAGUCUGGAUGAUAGUAAGUUGGUUCAACGUCUGCUUGUUUCUGACAGUAGGCAUUCUAAGUGGACUGACACUCAAGAUUGUCAGAGAACCUUAAGAGAUUUGUAAUUUGAUCUUGCAAUUGCUCAAGUCUUUCUUCUGAUCUUGGUUGUGACGUCCUCUCAAAAGGCCAUUGAUA
RNAcentral lists this long non-coding RNA (229 nucleotides) under Panax ginseng (ginseng). RNAcentral's name for it is "long non-coding RNA (PGIN_LNC010775)". The record is from RNAcentral. Lineage: Eukaryota; Viridiplantae; Streptophyta; Magnoliopsida; Apiales; Araliaceae.